UUUGAUUACAUAAGAUUCCUUUGAAAUUUAAAAAAAAAUCAAACUAGUUCAUACCAACUUGCUCAAGUUGUAUGUAUGAAUUACAAGAUCGACACCUUAUUUGAACUUACAAUCCUAGGAAAGCAUAAAAUGCAGUUCCAUGAGCAUGCAUUUAAAGUGACAGAAAAAAUUUACUGAUUACAGUGAUAGUCUAAGCUCCAAAUAUAGCUCUUGUGUGUCGCUUGAUUCUGAAUUCUGGCUGCUCGAUCCCAAUGAGUUGUUGCGAUGUUUCUUGCUCCUUGAAUGUGAAUCCUGUAAGAAUGUAAGGAACUAAAACAAGUUAAAUUUUAAAACACAAUCAUCACAUGGCACAUAAACUAAAUUUCAGCAACUAAACAAUUCAAUUUUCAGUACUUAAAAACUUCAAUUUACAACAUUUAAACACUUCAAUUUGCAGCACUUUAACACUUUAAUUUGCAACAUGUAAAAAUAAAAUAAAAUAAAAUAAAGAGCACACAAAUUUUACGUGGAAACCCUUUCAGGAAAAAAUCACGGACAGAGGAGAAGAAAAUUCACUAUGUCGAAAAAUUUGAAUCAAUACAAGAGGAAUAGACUAUGUCUAUUUAUAGGCUUGUAAAGCCAUAUUCUAGUAGGAUUGAAACACCUUAUCCUAAUAAAUAUAAAAUAGAUGGAGUUUAAUAAGGUUUAAAAAACCUUAUUCUAAAAUAAAAUAAAAGAAGUCUAGUUCUAUAUGGAUUUUACUUUUAUUUUAUUUUCCAUCGUAUUUUAUUUAAAUAAGAAUUCGGGUCACUUAAUUCUAACAAUCUCCACCUUGACACAAAUUCUCAAUGAACAAGUUCUUCAUCACAAACAAGUUCUCCACCUCUUCCACAAAACCCCUUAAGGGUUUAACUUCAACAAUAAACACCAACCAAGUCUAAGCAAUGGUCAAACUUGGUUAUAGGAAGUGACUUAGUCAUCAUAUCUGUAGGAUUUUCAUGAGUACUAAUUUUGCUCACAACAAUAUCACCACGAGCAAUAAUAUCACGAACAAAAUGAUACCGAACAUCAAUAUGUUUUGUUCUCUCGUGAAACAUUUGAUCUUUUGUAAGGAAGAUGGCACUCUAACUGUCACAAAAUACUGUACUGAUUUGAAGGUCUUCAUUGAGUUCACUAAAUAGUCCCUUCAACCAAAUAGCUUCUUUACAAGCCUCAGUAAUUGCCAUGUACUCGGCUUCAGUGGUAGACAAAGCGAAUGUAGUUUGCAAAGUGGCUUUCCAACUAAUUGCACAACCUCCGAUUGUAAAGACGUAACCUGUGAGAGAUAUUCUUCUAUCAAGGUCUCCAGCAAACUCAGCAUCAACAUACCCUAUGACUCCAUCUUUAGUUCUUCCAAACUGUAAGCAAACAUUAGUAGUGCCUCGUAAGUAUCUUAAAAUCCACUGAAUUGCUUUCCAAUGUUCUUUACCGGGAUUUGCCAUGUAUCUGCUAACUACACUGACUACAUAUGAUAAAUCUGGACGUGAGCAAACCUUAGCAUACAUGAGAGAUUCCACUGCACUAGAGUAUGGAACAUGUAACAUGUACUCAAUAUCAUCAUCUGAUUGUGGAGACAAAGCCGAUGAAAUUCUGAAAUGGGCUGCUAAAGGAGUACUAACAGGCUUAGCACUCUGCAUAUUGAACCUACAAAGAACUUUCUCAAUGUACCCCUUCUGACUUAGGUACAAUUUACUUGCUUUUCUAUCUCUGAGAAUCUCCAUACCAAGUAUCUUCUUUGGUGGUCCUAAAUCUUUCAUCUCAAAUUCUUCACUUAGUUGGGCUUUGACCUUUCUUAUCUCUCCUUUAUCUUUUGCUGCUAUCAACAUGUCAUCAACAUAAAGAAGUAGAUACACAAAAGAACCAUCACUGUUUUUCUUAAAGUAAACACAACUGUCUAAACUACUUCUUUUGAAAUCAUGAGAAGUCAUAAAGGAAUCAAACCUCUUGUACCACUGUCUUGGUGACUGUUUCAAACCAUAAAGCGACUUUUUCAGCAAGCAAACAUAGUCCACUUUUUCUGAGACUAUAAAACCCUCUGGUUGUUGCAUGUAAAUAUCCUCCUCAAGUUCUCCAUGCAUAAAUGUAGUUUUUACAUCUAACUGCUCAAGCUCCAAAUCAUGCAUGACUACAAUACCAAGCAAAGCUCGAAUCGAACUAUGCUUAACAACUGGAGAGAACACAUCUGUGAAGUCCACUCCUGGAAUUUGACUAUAACCCUUUGCAACAAGCCUUGCUUUAUAUCUGGGUUCUUCAACUCCUAGAGUCCCUUCUUUCUUUUUAAACACCCAUUUACAAUAAACAGCCUAUUUACCCUUAGGAAGUUUCACAAGGUCCCAUGUUUUGUUUUUGUGGAGUGAUUCCAUCUCUUCUUGCGUAGCAAACAUCCACUUUUCUGAGUCUUCACAGCUAACCACCUCAGAAUAAUUAGAUGGCUCUUGAUUCGCAUCUAUAUCUUCAGCCACAUUUAAAGCAUAAGCAACUAAAUCAGCUUCGGCAUACUUCUUUGGAGGUUUAAUUUCUCUUCUAGUUCUGUUUUUGGCGAUAGAGUAUUGUGGUGAAGAAGCAACUCUAUUCUCAAUUUUUGUUAUGGCUUGAGGAGUUGACUCUGUAUUAAUCUGAUACUCCACCUGCUUUUGGUUUUCUUUAUUGGAAGAGUCUUUAAGAGAUAAGUUAGGUAGCAUAGCAGUUUCAUCAAAAACAACAUCUCUACUAAUCACAACUUUUCUAUUUUCAGGACACCAUAACUUAUACCCUUUUACACCGGCUUUAUAACCAAGAAAAACGCAUUUAAUGGAUCUCGGUUCCAGUUUUCCAUUAUCAACAUGAGAAUACGCAGGACACCCAAAAAUCUUUAAAUCAGAAUAAUUAACAGGAUUACCAGACCAUACCUCUUGUGGAGUCUUUUUCUCAAUGGCAACGGAUGGAGAUCGGUUGAUCAAAAAACAUGCAGUAAAGGCUGCUUCUGCUCAAAAUGACUUCGGUAAGUUGGCAUUUGAAAACAUACAUCGAACCUUCUCUAUGAUCGUUCUGUUCAUUCGUUCUGCAAUGCCGUUUUGCUGUGGAGUAUGACGAACUGUCAAGUGUCUCAUGAUCCCUUCUGACUUGCACAAUCUAUUAAACUCAUCAGAGUAGAACUCUAAGCCAUUGUCUAUACGAAGGUAUUUUAUUUGUUUUCCCGUCUAUUUUUCAAUCAUAAUUUUCCAAGACUUAAAUGCGGAAAACACAUCACUUUUCUGCUUCAGGAAGAACGCCCAAACUUUUCUGAAAAAUCAUCAAUAAAGGUUAACAUAUAAUUAGUUCCACCUCUCGAAGGCACUCUGGAUGGCCCCCACAGAUCAGAAUGAAUAUACUCCAACGUUCCUUUUGUGUUAUGGAUUCCUCUAGUGAAUCGAACUCUCUUUUGCUUCUCAAAAACACAGUGCUCACAGAAAUUCAGUUUGCAAAUUCCUUGCCCAUCAAGAAGUCCUCUUUUGCUCAAUUCUGCAAUGCCAUUCUCACUCAUAUACCCUAGGCGCAUAUACCAAAGUUUAGUAAUAUCAUCAUCUGACAAGGAAGAUAAAGUGACAGCUGCAUCACCAGUAAUAGUAGAACCCUGCAAAACAUAUAACUUGGCAAUUUUUCUCUGCCCUUUCAUCACAACAAGGGACCCUUUGGAAAUCUUUAAAACCCCACUUUCAGCUGUGUAUCUGUACCCUUUUGAAUCAAGAGUACUCAAUGAAAUUAAAUUUUUUUUCAAUUCUGGAACUUGUCAUACGUCACUAAGUGUUCUAACAACUCCAUCAAACAUCUUAACUUUAAUUGUUCCAACACCUGCGAUUUUACACGAAGCAUUAUUUCUCAUCAAAACAACACCUUCAGACACUAUUUCGUAAGUUGUAAACCAAUCACGAUUGGGACACAUGUGGAAGGUGCAGCCUGAAUCAAGUAUCCACUCCUCACUUACUUUAGAAUCAUUGACAGAAGCGACUAGAAGUUCACCAUCGCUAUAGUCUUCUACAACAUCAGCUUCACCGAAAUUUUCUGGUUGUUUUCCCUUUUGAUUCGCAGCCUCCCUUUUAAUCUUAUUUUGUAGCUUAUAGCACUUAGAUUUAAUGUGCCCUUUCUUCUUGCAGAAGUUACAAGUUUUACCUCUAUUUGAAGACUUCGAUCUACCCUUAGAUUUACCACGAGGAUUCUGUUCCUGUGUCUUACCAUGAUCAUCAUCAACAUUCCGAUCUUGUCUCCCAUGAACAAUGAGACCCUCUCCCUGAGAGUCGAGUUUAACCACAAGAUGUUUCAUCUUAUUAUAUGAGGUUAAAGAAUCAUAAACCUCAUCAACUGUGAGAGACUCGCGGCUAUAUAAAAUCGUGUCUCUAAAGGUUGAAUAAGACGGGGGCAACGAACAAAGUAGAAUCAACCCUAGAUCUUCCUUAUCAUACUUAACCUCCAUGGCCUCCAAGUUUGAGAGAAUUUCUUAAAACACUGUUAAGUGUUCGUGUACAGACGCACCUUCCUCCAAACAAUGAGCAUAAAGACGCUACUUCAUAUGUAACUUGCUUGUUAGAGUUUUCGACAUACAUAUUUGUUCUAGCCUCUUCCAUAAUGCAGCGGCAGUCUUCUCUUUCAUCACAUCCUGCAAAAUUUCGUUUGACAAAUGCAGAUGUAAUUGUGUUAAUGCCUUUCGAUCCUUACGCUUCUUCUCUUCAUCGGUUAAUGUCGAAGGCAUCUUAUCUAUCCCUAGCAGGGCAUCCUCCAGAUCCAUCUGCGCAAGAACUGCUUGCAUCUUAAUCUGCCACAAUGCAAAUCUGGUGUUGCGGUCCAAUAACGAAAUUUCAUAGUUCAAAGACGCCAUUACUCUGAUUGAGAUGAACAACCCGAAAGCUCGGAUACCAAUUUGUAAAAAUAAAAUAAAAUAAAAAACACACAAAUUUUACGUGGAAACCCUUUCGGGAAAAAACCACGGGCAGAGAAGAAGAAAAUUCACUAUGUUGAAAAAUUUGAAUCAAUACAAGAGGAAUAGACUAUGUCUAUUUAUAGGCUUGUAAAGUCAUAUUCUAGUAGGAUUGAAACACCUUAUCCUAAUAAAUAUAAAAUAGAUGGAGUUUAAUAAGGUUUAAAAAACCUUAUUCUAAAAUAAAAUAAAAGAAGUCUAGUUCUAUAUGGAUUUUACUUUUAUUUUAUUUUUCAUCGUAUUUUAUUUAAAUAAGAAUUCGGGUCACUUAAUUCUAACACAGCACUUUAACACUUCAAUUUACAACACUUUAACAUCUCAAUUAACAACAUUUAUACUCCUUAAUUACAGCGAUAAAACAUCUUAAUUUCCAGCAACUAAACAUUUCAAUUUGCAGUACUUAAACACUUCAAUUUACAACAUUUAAACACUUCAAUUUACAACAUUCAAACACUUCAAUUUGCAGCAUUGUAACACUUCAAUUUAUAGCAUUUAAAUACUUCAAUUUGUAGCACUUUAACAUCUCAAUUAACAACAUUUAUACAGCUCAAUUACAGCGAUAAAACAUCUCAAUUUCCAGCAACUAAACACUUCAAUUUACAAUAUUUAAGCACUUCAAUUUACAGCAUUUAAGCACUUCAAUUUAUAGCAUUUAACACUUCAAUUUACAGCAUUUAAACACUGCAAUUUGCUGCACUUUAACAUCUCAAUUAACAACAUUUAUACACCUCAAUUACAGCGAUAAAACAUCUCAAUUUCCAGCAACUAAACACUUCUAUUUGCAGUACUUAAAAACUUCAAUUUACAACAUUUAAGCACUUCAAUUUACAGCAUUUAAACACUUCAAUUUUCAUCACUUUAACAUCUCAAUUAACAAUAUUUAUACACCUCAAUUACAUCAAUAAAACAUCUCAAUUUCCAGCAACUAAACACUUCAAUUUGCAAUAUUUAAACACUUCAAUUUAUAGCAUUUAAACACUUCAAUUUACAGCAUUUAAACAGCAGCAACCAUCAAUUAAAUAAGAGGAAUUUUAAACAUUUAAUAGUCAUUUCCAUCAUAAUCGACAGCAAAUUAUCCACCAUUUAAUUAGCUCAAUUUUAGCAUUAAUUCGGUAAUGAGCAACAAUAUACAGCAGCAUUCAAUCCACCAUAAAAAGAUAUUCCAAACAUCCAUUUACUCACUUCCGGACCUCAUUAACAGCAACAAUUUAACAGAUUUCUUUCAUACAGUUCUUCUAACCUGAAACAGCAUUGGUCAUUGGGAGAAAAAUGCGAAUCUACUUGGACGUGUCAGUUAGGGCCAUAACAAUUGCAAUUGCUUCCGGUAGCAUAAUCUUAACUCUAAAUCAAAGAAAGUAUUAAAAGAGGGUACUAUUUUUCAAAAUUAUCUGAAUUUGCUCAAGAGUUAUAAGCUUUCGAGCUUUUGCUAUCACAAAUAGAAGUUCUAGCUAAAUAGUUGAAUGUACCUAUUUAAGAAACGUAAACAGUCAAUCCUGUGAAUCUAAACAUUGAAAUUAUUAACAAAUUUGUUGCUGAGUAAUGCAAUUUUAAUUCAGACAAUUAUACAUCUUGAUGCAUACUCUAAACAUAUAUAUUGAUGAAUGAAAAUUAUACAUACUUCUGGCUGGCAGAGGGCAUGAAUUGAGCAAGAUCCUCGCCAUCUAACCCAAUCAAAUCCUGAAAGAAAUAAAAAAUUGUUAUCCAAAGUAAAUGUAUAAACCACCCGUCCAAUCUGCACAAGAAAACACAAUAUGAAUGAAAAAAAAUCUAUAAUUAAAUGCAUUAAGACGUCAAAAACAAAAGACAUGCUGACCUGCAGGUUUUGUUCAAUUGGCUUAUUGGUUUCGUUAUCCUUUGUAUGCCGCCUAUAACAUUCUAUAGUUUGUUGCAUGCUAAAUAAAUGAUAUAUCCAAAUAGCAACACAAAUGAAUUCAUGGAAAAGCUUCUAAUUAAAAACCAAACAAUGUUUUAAUUAGAACAGAAGCUACAUGUAUAUAGGCAUAAAUGCAAUAAAAACCUCAAAUAAAAUAAAAAAAGAAAUGAUUAACUAAACAGUAUCAUUAAGCAUCAUUCUAGUCACUAUGUUGUUAUAGUAAUUAGGGAUUAGUCAUAAAAUAUAGUUUAAUUUUGGUUCUUGGAAAAACCCCACAGGAAAGAACAAUGUUGUAACACCCCGAACCCGAAACCGACACCGGAGUCGAACACGAGGUGUUAACUGACUUUAACCCCUUAUAAAAUUUAUUUUCCAGACACUGCCCAAUCUGUGUACUAGUCGUUCUAAAAAUCAUAUCUUGAGUUUCCUAACUCGAAAAUCAGUUUCGUGAUUUUUCCCAGAAACUAGACUCAUGUGCCCAUCUAUGAAUUUUUUUCUAGAAUUUUUGGUUGGGCCAAUUAGUACAGUUUAUUAGUCAAAGUCUCCCAUGUUGCAGGGGUCGACUACACUGACCUUUUCCCAUUACGACCUGGAUAUCUCCCUGCACGGGGCUUCAAUACUGAUGGCGUUUGUUUCUAUGAAAACUAGACUCAGAGAGGAAUCUGUACAUAUAUGGUACGACCCCUAAUUAUCUCUGGUUAAUUUAUAUUGAAUUUCCAAAGUCGGAGCAGGGAAUCCAGAAACUGUUCUGGCCCUGUCCCACAAAAAUCUGAUUAUCUAUUAAUAUACUGCCCAUAUGAUCUUUUCGUUACUUCCUCAUGAAAACAGACUCAUCGAGCUUCGAUUACAUAAUUUAUUCAUCAAUUAAUUCCACUCCUACUAUUUUUAGUGAUUUUUCAAUCUCAUGACACUGCUGCUGCCAGCAUCUGUUACGAAAGUAACUAGGUCCAUUUCAUGCCUACCCUUGAUCCAACUCAAUCGAACAUUCGUGCCAUUUUCGCAUGGCUUAAAGUUUACAUGCCAAAGUUCAAACACAACGUAAUAGCUUAUACAUGCCAAAAUGUUCUUCUAAGCCAACUAAGAAGAAAGUACCAAAACUUGCUAUCCGGUGUGAUGACUUCGAUGACGGCCUGACCCCGCAAAAAUAGAUGAGUCCAAGCAACCUAUAAUGGGUGACAAGGAAACACCGAGUGAGUUUAUAACUCAGUAAGUCAUAAGCAAUGCACUACCAUCCAUCAAUAACAUUAUCACAAGAGGAAACAAAAUGGAACGAGACAAUUUACUCCAUCCAUACCGAACCAUACCAUAGUUCCUCCAACCUAUCGAUUCAGUUUCAUAUCAAUUUAUGCAUUCACAUUCCAUAUACUCAUCAAUAGGACAUUGAGGCAAUUUCAUAAAUCAAUUUAUUUUCAUUACAAUCAAACGACUAAACGGCCUUUCACCCAUCCUACGAUAAAUUUUAUGUACGUGACUUCAAGUAUAUUUGUCACAUAGAUUCAAACUUACCGAGCUCAACACCAAGUAUAAGCAUAGCACCCAUUAGCCAUGUACUCAAGACACUUACCCGAUCCGCUGUCCGCGAUCGACUCGAUAGUGUCGCACACAUAGUGUCCAUAAUGAUUCACGAAUGUAUAUUGAGUCCGCACACUCAGUGCUAUAUAAUCAACUCGCACACUUAGUGCUACGUAAUCAAAUCGCACACUUAGUGCUACAUAGUCAAACUCGCACACUUAGUGCCGCAUGGUCAAUUCGCACACUUAGUGCAUCAUAUUCAUUUCGCACACUUAGUGCAACAUAGUCAAAUCGCACACUUAGUGCUACAUAGUCAAAUCGCACACUUAGUGCUGUACAAUUUACUCCCGCGCACUUAGCGCCAAUCUCAUGGUCAUAAAUGGUUAUACCCGCACGUUUAGUGCCGAGAUCAACAACUCAGUACAUCUUACCUCUUUUCUUUUCAUUCAACAAUUUCAUCAUCACAUACGUACAUGCAUAUAUAUAUGUAUAUUUAUUCAUUCCAUUCAGCAUCAAUACAUAAACAUUAUGACCAUUUAAAACAAUACCAACUACAUGCUUAAUGACUUACCUUGUGUUGGGUAAGACGGUUCCAACUCGGCUACUCAGUAAUCUUUUCUUUGCCUUUAUCGGAUCUAGUUCCCUUUUGCUCUUGAGCUUAAGUUCAACAAAAUUUAAAAUAGUCAUUAAUCGACUAUUCAAGUAUUACUUUCAGAAUAAUAUAUAUAUUGAUUUGACUUUCACACACAUAGCUUAUAGUAAGCUUUAUAAUAAUCAAUAAAUAACUCAUUGGCAAAUUUUCAUUAAUGUUUACAACAAAAUCACAUAUUCACUACGAGCUGUUUUCCUGAGCAGUAGUCGCUAAAUUGUUUAUAACUGGAGCUACAAAACUCCAAAUCACAAGCCGUUAAUUUUCCCUGAAUAUAGACUCGUAUAUCUUUCAUCCAUAAAAUUUUCAGAAUUUUAGGCUUGGCCAAUCAAUACCAGAUUUUUCUUAAAGUUUCCCGUGUUUCACUGUUUGACUAUUCUGACCACUCUUCACUACGAAUCAAAUUUCUCAUUUUACAGAAUUCAAAAUGUGUUGUAUUUGAUCUCAUUUGAAACUAGACUCAUUAAGGAGUCUAAGCAUAUAAAUUGUAUCUUAUAAUCAUUUUUGUACAAUUUAUAAUGAUUUUCUAAAAACAGAACAGGGAAUCUAGUAGUCAUUUUGACUCAGCCCCACAAUACUUCAAAUAUCUCAAGAUCGGUAACUCUUUUGUUUUCAUAGUUUCUUUUGUAAGAAAAUAGACUCUUCAAGCUUUAAUGGCAUAAUUCACUCAGCUUCUAAUUCAACUCCUACAAAUUAUGGCGAUUUUCCAAAAUCACCUUACUGCUGCUGUCCCCAAACAGAUUAUUACCAAAUCAAAUACUAACAUUAGCAUUUCACCUUAAUAGCUAGCUUACCAAGCCUUAAUUUAACAUAUUUUCAUUCAAUUUAGUCUAAUAACGCAUAAAUGGGUAAAUUACAUUUUUACCCCUAAUAUUAAGCACUUUCGCAAUUUAGUCUUUAUUCCACAAAACACAAAAUACACAAAGUUUGGUCACACUCCUUAAGGGCCGAAUCUUCCUAGUACCCAUAUAAGUCCAUACAUUUCAUUUAUUUCACCUUUGAGUCCUUCAAAAAUUUAUUUUUGUAAUUUAGCCCUAACUACUCAAAAUCACCAAAAACUUCAACACAAAACAUAUUAAUCUUUAACAAGAAAUAAAAUCUCUAAUCCUCAAACUACCAUGGUCGAACCUUCAUGGAGUUGCUAAGACUCCUCAUUUCUACUUCUCACACACUCUCACAUCCAAACCCUUUUAUUAAACACCCAAAGUCAACCAUCUCCUUACCUCAUCACCAAAGACAUCAAAAUACCAACCAAGAACGUAACAUUCAUGGCCGAAUGUCACCUCCAUCAUUUAACAAAGCUUGAACCAUGGCUAGGUAGAUUUUGAACUUACAACUUAAAAUAUACAUGAAUCUCAAAGAAUAACAUUAAACAUACCUCAAUCUAGUUACAUGCAUGGCCAAACUUCCUCCUAAUCCUCUUCCUUAGGAUUUUCGGUCAAAUGAGGUUGAAAAAGGAUGAACAAAACCUUUCUUUUCCUUCCUUUAGCUCACGGCAAUGGGGUGUAUGCAUGAGACCAUUAUUCCUUUUUUUUUUCAUCACCCUUCCUUUCAUUAUUUAAUUAUCAUGCUUAUUAUUUUAUUUGUUUCAUCCCAACAUUUUAUGACACAAAUUAACAUAUCUUAUUUGUGCCAUACUCAUGCCAUAAUUUCCAUAAAAUAAAUUGCACAAUUGUUCAUCAUGCCCAUCAUGGCCGGCCACUACUAGUAGGGGGGGAAAUUUGACAUGCAAGUCCCCCCUUUGUCCACAUGCACUAAUAGGUCCUCACACAUUGACCUAUCACAUUUUAGAAUUUUCUCACAUAAGUCCUAUUGACUAAAUUCUCAUGAAAUCAACCAAAUUGAAGCUUGAAAUUUUCACACCUUCAUAAUUACAUAUUCUAGACAAUAAGUAUCACAUUCAAACAUUUCGGUGACUCGGUUUAGUGGUCCCGAAACCACUUCCCGACUAGGGUCAACUUUGGGCUGUCACAACUCUCCCCCACUUAAGAAAUUUUCGUCCCCGAAAAUCUUACCGGUAAAUAGGUUUGGGUAUCGUUCUUUCAUCGAGCUCUCGGUCUCCCAAGUAGCUUCCUCGAUCCCGUGUUUGAGCCAUAACACCUUUACUAGCGGAACUCUUUUGUUUCGCAACUCCUUCACUUCACGAGCUAGGAUACGCAUCGGUUCUUCUUCAUAGCUCAUGUCGACUUGAAUUUCAACCUCUGAUGGGCUAAUUAUAUGCGAUGGAUUAGAUCGAUAGCGUCGAAGCAUCGAAACAUGAAAGACGUCAUGAAUCUUUUCAAGCUCCGGGGGCAAAAUCAAUCUAUACGCAACCGGGCCAACUCGUUUGGAGAUUUCGUACGGCCCAAUGAAUCUUGGGCUCAACUUGCCCUUACGGCCGAACCUGAGUAUCUUUUUCCAAGGUGAAACCUUAAGGAACACUUUGUCUCCCACCUGAUACUCGAUGCCUUUUCGUUUCAAAUCUGCGUACGACUUCUGACGAUCCGUGGCUACUUUCAGACUUUCACGGAUUACAUUUACUUUCUGUUCAGCAUCUUUAACCAAAUCAACUCCAGAAAUUUUACUUUCACCGAGCUCGGUCCAAAACAAUGGUGUACGGCAUUUACGACCGUACAAAGCCUCGUAAGGUGCCAUCUUAAUACCUGAUUGAAAACUAUUGUUGUAAGCGAAUUCAAUCAAAGGUAAAUACCGUUCCCAUGAACCACUGAACUCGAGGAUGCAACAUCUCAACAUAUCCUCGUAAGGCACUUGAUGUUCCACUUUCACUUGUUGACAUAUUAAACAUCUCGAAACAAAGUCGGAGAUGUCCCGUUUCAUACUAUGCCACCAAAAUUGACGUUUCAAAUCGUUGUACAUUUUCGUACUCCCCGGGUGAAUUGACAUUCGGCUACAAUGGGCUUCGUUCAGAAUCAUCGAAAUGAGUUCCGAAUUCCUUGGAACACACAAACGACUUCUAAACCUCAAACAACCAUCAUCAUCAAUCUAAAACUCCGAUUCCUUGUUCGGAACACACUCAGCUCGUUUUGCAACCAAUUCAUCAUCGACUUCCUGAGCUUCACGAAUUUGAUGAGUCAAUAAUGGUCUGGCUUUUAAUUCAGCUACUAACACAUUGUCAGGUAGAACAGACAAGUGUACAUUCAUCGCUCGCAAAGCAAACAGUGAUUUCCGGCUUAAGGCGUCCGCAACCACAUUAGCCUUUCCCGGGUGGUAAUCAGUGACAAGCUCGUAAUCUUUCAACAACUCAAGCCAACGUCUUUGUCGCAGAUUCAAGUCUCGUUGAGUCAUCAAAUAUUUGAGACUUUUGUGAUCCGAAAACACAUGGCACUUCUCACCAAACAAAUAAUGUUGCCAUAUUUUCAAUGCAAACACAAUGGCGGCUAGUUCGAGAUCAUGGGUCGGAUAAUUUCUCUCGUGUGGCUUCAAUUGUCUCGACGCAUAGGCCACAACUCGACCUUCUUGCAUCAAUACGCAACCCAACCCAAGUAGGGAUGCGUCACUAUAAAUGACAAACUCUUUACCCGAUUCGGGUUGCACCAAAAUUGGAGCUUCAGUCAAAUGAGUUUUCAGUUGAUCGAAGCUUUUCUGACACUUCUCCGUCCAUUCAAACUUAACAUCCUUUUGAAGUAGCUUCGUCAUUGGUGUGGCUAUCAUCGAGAAACCUUUGACAAAUCGUCGGUAAUAACCGGCGAGCCCUAGAAAGCUCCGAACUUCAGUAAUAUUUCUCGGAGGUUUCCAGUCAAGUAUGGCUGAAAUUUUGUUCGGGUCAACACGAAUACCUGACGCGGAUACCUCAUGACCCAAGAAGCUAACCUCUCUUAACCAGAACUCACACUUACUGAACUUAGCAUAUAUCUGCUUAUCCUGCAAAAUUUGCAGCACUAGCCUCAGAUGCUCAGCAUGUUCGGUCUCAUCUCUUGAAUAGACCAAAAUGUCAUCAAUGAACAUAACUACGAACCGAUCCAAAUACGGUUUGAGGAUCCGAUUCAUCAAAUCCAUAAAUACCGCAGGGGCAUUAGUGAGCCCAAACGGCAUCACUAAGAAUUCGUAGUGACCAUAUCUCGUUCUGAAGGCAGUUUUGGGAAUAUCUGAAUCUCGAAUUCACAACUGAUAAUAGCCCGAUCUCAAAUCUAUUUUUGAGAACACUGAGGCUCCCUUCAGUUGGUCGAACAAAUCAUCGAUGCGCGGCAACGGAUAUUUGUUCUUUAUCGUCACUUUAUUCAGCUGACGAUAGUCAAUGCACAACCUCAUGGUUCCGUCCUUCUUUUUCACGAACAAUACUGGUGCACCCCAAGGUGAAAAACUUGGUCGAGCGAAACCUCUAUCCGUCAGUUCUUGCAACUGAGCUUUCAACUCCUUUAACUCGGUUGGUGCCAUACGAUACGGAGCUAUCGAAAUCGGCGUAGUCCCAGGUACAAGCUCAAUACCAAACUCUACCUCCCGAACAGGUGGCAAACCCGGUAACUCUUCAGGAAAAACAUCCGGGUAUUCACAAACCACCGGCACCGAUUCGGGUUUCUUUUCUAACUCCUUGUCAUCAAGUACAUACGCGAGGUAUGCUUCGCACCCUUUUCUUACAUAUUUCUGUGCCAACAUUGCUGAUAUUACAGCUGGCAUCCCCUCCAAGUCCGCAGACUCAAUUCGGAUUACUUCGUUAUUUGCGCACCUCAAAUCAAUAGUCUUUCUCUUGCAAUUCACAACCGCAUCGUGCGCGAUCAACCAAUCCAAACCAAGGAUAACAUCAAAUUCAUCAAACGGCAAAAGCAUCAAGUUCGCCAGAAAACAGGAACCUCGAAUUUCCAGGGGACAUUUCUUACACACUUUGUCGACAAGCACAUAACGACCCAAGGGAUUUGACACCCGAAUUACGAACUCAGUAGACUCAAUAGGUAAAGUCUUACUGGAUGCUAAGGUUUCACAUAUGUAAGAAUGAGUAGGACCGGGGUCAAUCAAAGCAAUUACAUUAGUAUCAAAGAGAGUGAAUGUACCGGUAAUAACAUCAGGCGAAGAAGCAUCCUCGCGGGCACGUAUAGCAUAAGCUCUAGCAGGCGCACGAGCCUCGGAUCUGGUCGUAGCAUCUCUAGAUCCUCUCUGACCACCACCAGCAUUGCCCGUAUUUCCAGAUGGUCUACCUCGAGCAGUGGUAGCACCCGGUUUCCCACUCUGAUUUACAUUCUGUUCAGACAACCUCGGGCAAUCUUUAAUGAAGUGGUCAACCGAUCCGCACUUGUAACAGGAGCGGUCAGGGAAUCUACAACUCCCCGAAUGCCAUUUACCGCAAUAUCGACAUUUCGUUCUGUCUCGACGUUCAUUCCCAACACUGGCGACCGAAGUGCCUCGUGUACCCAAAGGGGGUCGAUCACGAUCUCAUCUAAAAAGGCCCGAAGUGCCUCUCGACCAGCCCACAUCAUCUCGAAAUUUCUUCGAUGCCUGUUGAAGAGACUUUCCCGAAGAUAUUUUACGAAACUCUCCAGUUCCCUCAUCAACUUUUUGUUUUUCUUUUCUAAGCUCUUCGGCUUUACAAGCUCACUCGACAAGUACUACGAACUCUCGUAUUUCAAGAACGCCAACGAACAUUUUUAUAUCUUCAUUCAGCCCAUCCUCGAAGCGUUACACAUAAUAGCCUCGGACGAAACACAUUCCCGAGCGUAUCUACUAAGUCUAACAAAUUCAUGUUCGUAUUCAGAUACAGUCAUACGGCCUUGCUUGAGUUCUAAGAACUCCUUACGCUUCUGAUCAAUGAACCGUAGGCUAAUAAAUUUCUUUCGGAAUUCCGUUUGAAAGAAGUCCCAAGUUACUCGCUCGUUCGGGACUAUGGAAAUCAAGGUCCUCCACCAAUAGUAGGCUGAGUCUCGCAAGAAAGAUACAGCACAUUUGAGACAUUCGUCGGGUGUGCAUGACAAUUCAUCGAACACCCGAAUGGUGUUAUCAAGCCAGAACUCGGCCCUUUCGGCAUUAUCAGUUACUAUGGCCUUGAACUCCUCGGCCCCACGUUUCCUAAUCAAGUCUACAGGUGGCUUACUCAGCCUCACAGGAUCAGCGACUGAUGGCAUUACAGGCUCUUGGGGUGGAUUAUUCAAAUUUGGGAAUUGUUGGACAGCCGGGUUGGUUCGGGCAUAUUGCGCGACCCACUCAUUCAUCAUGGUAAAGAAGGCUUGUUUAGCCCCCUCACCUUGAUUAUUCGCAGAUGACUGAGGUUCAACAGGCGGCGUCCCUUGUGCAGGAGCAGCCGCUACGCUCUCAACGUCAUCCGCUAGGGUUCUUUCUACACCGGGAUCCAUUUACUAAUCAAAACAAAAACAUUUCAACCGUCAGAAGUCAUCACCCUUUUAAACAUUAACAUUAAGGCAUGUAUAGCUAGACUCAUACGUGCUAUGGUAGUCCUAGAACCGACUAAACCAUAGCUCUGAUACCAAUCAAAUGUAACACCCCGAACCCGAAACCGACACCGGAGUCGAACACGAGGUGUUAACUGACUUUAACCCCUUAUAAAAUUUAUUUUCCAGACACUGCCCAAUCUGUGUACUAGUCGUUAUAAAAAUCAUAUCUUGAGUUUCGUAACUCGAAAAUCAGUUUCGUGAUUUUUCCCAGAAACUAGACUCAUGUGCCCAUCUAUGAAUUUUUUUCUAGAAUUUUUGGUCGGGCCAAUUAGUACAGUUUAUUAGUCAAACUCUCCCAUGUUGCAGGGGUCGACUACACUGACCUUUUCCCAUUACAACCUGGAUAUCUCCCUGCACGGGGCUUCAAUACUGAUGCCGUUUGUUUCUAUGAAAACUAAACUCAGAGAGGAAUCUGUACAUAUAUGGUACGACCCCUAAUUAUCUCUGGUUAAUUUAUAUUGAAUUUCCAAAGUCGGAGCAGGGAAUCCAGAAACCGUUCUGGCCCUGUCCCACAAAAAUCUGAUUAUCUAUUAAUAUACUGCCCAUAUGAUCUUUUCGUUACUUCCUCAUGAAAACAGACUCAUCGAGCUUCGAUUACAUAAUUUAUUCAUCAAUUAAUUCCACUCCUACUAUUUUUAGUGAUUUUUCAAUCUCAUGACACUGCUGCUGCCAGCAUCUGUUACGAAAGUAACUAGGUCCAUUUCAUGCCUACCCUUGAUCCAACUCAAUCGAACAUUCGUGCCAUUUUCGCAUGGCUUAAAGUUUACAUGCCAAAGUUCAAACACAACGUAAUAGCUUAUACAUGCCAAAAUGUUCUUCUAAGCCAACUAAGAAGAAAGUACCAAAACUUGCUAUCCGGUGUGAUGACUUCGAUGACGGCCUGACCCCGCAAAAAUAGAUGAGUCCAAGCAACCUAUAAUGGGUGACAAGGAAACACCGAGUGAGUUUAUAACUCAGUAAGUCAUAAGCAAUGCACUACCAUCCAUCAAUAACAUUAUCACAAGAGGAAACAAAAUGGAACGAGACAAUUUACUCCAUCCAUACCGAACCAUACCAUAGUUCCUCCAACCUAUCGAUUCAGUUUCAUAUCAAUUUAUGCAUUCACAUUCCAUAUACUCAUCAAUAGGACAUUGAGGCAAUUUCAUAAAUCAAUUUAUUUUCGUUACAAUCAAACGACUAAACGGCCUUUCACCCAUCCUACGAUAAAUUUUAUGUACGUGACUUCAAGUAUAUUUGUCACAUAGGUUCAAACUUACCGAGCUCAACACCAAGUAUAAGCAUAGCACCCAUUAGCCAUGUACUCAAGACACUUACCCGAUCCGCUGUCCGCGAUCGACUCGAUAGUGUCGCACACAUAGUGUCCAUAAUGAUUCACGAAUGUAUAUUGAGUCCGUACACUCAGUGCUAUAUAAUCAACUCGCACACUUAGUGCUACGUAAUCAAAUCGCACACUUAGUGCUACAUAGUCAAACUCGCACACUUAGUGCCGCAUGGUCAAUUCGCACACUUAGUGCAUCAUAUUCAUUUCGCACACUUAGUGCAACAUAGUCAAAUCGCACACUUAGUGCUACAUAGUCAAAUCGCACACUUAGUGCUGUACAAUUUACUCCCGCGCACUUAGCGCCAAUCUCAUGGUCAUAAAUGGUUAUACCCGCACGUUUAGUGCCGAGAUCAACAACUCAGUACAUCUUACCUCUUUUCUUUUCAUUCAACAAUUUCAUCAUCACAUACGUACAUGCAUAUAUAUAUGUAUAUUUAUUCAUUCCAUUCAGCAUCAAUACAUAAACAUUAUGACCAUUUAAAACAAUACCAACUACAUGCUUAAUGACUUACCUUGUGUUGGGUAAGACGGUUCCAACUCGGCUACUCAGUGAUCUUUUCUUUGCCUUUAUCGGAUCUAGUUCCCUUUUGCUCUUGAGCUUAAGUUCAACAAAAUUUAAAAUAGUCAUUAAUCGACUAUUCAAGUAUUACUUUCAGAAUAAUAUAUAUAUUGAUUUGACUUUCACACACAUAGCUUAUAGUAAGCUUUAUAAUAAUCAAUAAAUAACUCAUUGGCAAAUUUUCAUUAAUGUUUACAACAAAAUCACAUAUUCACUACGAGCUGUUUUCCUGAGCAGUAGUCGCUAAAUUGUUUAUAACUGGAGCUACAAAACUCCAAAUCACAAGCCGUUAAUUUUCCCUGAAUAUAGACUCGUAUAUCUUCCAUCCAUAAAAUUUUCAGAAUUUUAGGCUUGUCCAAUCAAUACCAGGUUUUUCUUAAAGUUUCCCGUGUUUCACUGUUUGACUAUUCUGACCACUCUUCACUACGAAUCAAAUUUCUCAUUUUACAGAAUUCAAAAUGUGUUGUAUUUGAUCUCAUUUGAAACUAGACUCAUUAAGGAGUCUAAGCAUAUAAAUUUUAUCUUAUAAUCAUUUUUGUACAAUUUAUAAUGAUUUUCUAAAAACAGAACAGGGAAUCUAGUAGUCAUUUUGACUCAGCCCCACAAUACUUCAAAUAUCUCAAGAUCGGUAACUCUUUUGUUUUCAUAGUUUCUUUUGUAAGAAAAUAGACUCUUCAAGCUUUAAUGGCAUAAUUCACUCAGCUUCUAAUUCAACUCCUACAAAUUAUGGCGAUUUUCCAAAAUCACCUUACUGCUGCUGUCCCCAAACAGAUUAUUACCAAAUCAAAUACUAACAUUAGCAUUUCACCUUAAUAGCUAGCUUACCAAGCCUUAAUUUAACAUAUUUUCAUUCAAUUUAGUCUAAUAACGCAUAAAUGGGUAAAUUACAUUUUUACCCCUAAUAUUUCGCACUUUCGCAAUUUAGUCUUUAUUCCACAAAACACAAAAUACACAAAGUUUGGUCACACUCCUUAAGGGCCGAAUCUUCCUAGUACCCAUAUAAGUCCAUACAUUUCAUUUAUUUCACCUUUGAGUCCUUCAAAAAUUUAUUUUUGUAAUUUAGCCCUAACUACUCAAAAUCACCAAAAACUUCAACACAAAACAUAUUAAUCUUUAACAAGAAAUAAAAUCUCUAAUCCUCAAACUACCAUGGUCGAACCUUCAUGGAGUUGCUAAGACUCCUCAUUUCUACUUCUCACACACUCUCACAUCCAAACCCUUUUAUUAAACACCCAAAGUCAACCAUCUCCUUACCUCAUCACCAAAGACAUCAAAAUACCAACCAAGAACGUAACAUUCAUGGCCGAAUGUCACCUCCAUCAUUUAACAAAGCUUGAACCAUGGCUAGGUAGAUUUUGAACUUACAACUUAAAAUAUACAUGAAUCUCAAAGAAUAACAUUAAACAUACCUCAAUCUAGUUACAUGCAUGGCCAAACUUCCUCCUAAUCCUCUUCCUUAGGAUUUUCGGUCAAAUGAGGUUGAAAAAGGAUGAACAAAACCUUUCUUUUCCUUCCUUUAGCUCACGGCAAUGGGGUGUAUGCAUGAGACCAUUAUUCGUUUUUUUUUUUCAUCACCCUUCCUUUCAUUAUUUAAUUAUCAUGCUUAUUAUUUUACUUGUUUCAUCCCAACAUUUUAUGACACAAAUUAACAUAUCUUAUUUGUGUCAUACUCAUGCCAUAAUUUCCAUAAAAUAAAUUGCACAAUUGUUCAUCAUGCCCAUCAUGGCCGGCCACUACUAGUAGGGGGGAAAUUUGACAUGCAAGUCCCCCCUUUGUCCACAUGCACUAAUAGGUCCUCACACAUUGACCUAUCACAUUUUAGAAUUUUCUCACAUAAGUCCUAUUGACUAAAUUCUCAUGAAAUCAACCAAAUUGAAGCUUGAAAUUUUCACACCUUCAUAAUUACAUAUUCUAGACAAUAAGUAUCACAUUCAAACAUUUCGGUGACUCGGUUUAGCGGUCCCGAAACCACUUCCCGACUAGGGUCAACUUUGGGCUGUCACAAAUGUUGUGGAGAGUAUAUAGCACUAAAUGACGUGCAUAAGUGAGAGUUUUUAUGGCAGAAUCAAACAACCCUAAGUAUGAAACUCAAAAAAUAUCAAUCAAAUCAAACUAAAUUCAAUAAAAACCCAACAAAUCUCAAUCUAGGUAUCUUCUGAAUCCCCUAAAAAUGCAAAUGCUAUUGAUUAAUUACCAAAUUUAGAGAUAAAUAAAAAAAAGCCAACAUGCUUCCUUGCUCAUGAACGUGCUGAAGAUUACCUAUUCUUUAUCAUCCUCUUUUGUCUCAUUUCAACAUUUUUCUCAACUAUGUCCUUGGGGGCACCUCUUUUCCUAAUAUUUGUGAAUGCAAGAUACAAAAAAGAUUCACAGAAAAAAUAUUUUGGGAAAUAGAUCGAGGUUAAGGGUUAUGGGAAAACUACUGAUAUUUUUAGCAGAGAAAAUCAAAGGGACUUCGGCGAAAAUCGAAGGUAUUUUGAUUUGGGGAUUUUGGGAAACCGAUUUGAGGAUAUCGAAUUGGGGGAAAAUAAAGGGAAUUUGGGGCUCCAAAAAACGAUGCCGAUUUCAAUCUAUUAAGAGAUGUUUGUGGCAUUUUUUA
This 19835-nucleotide long non-coding RNA is filed under the name Gossypium barbadense (sea-island cotton). RNAcentral's name for it is "long non-coding RNA (GBAR_LNC007005)". Lineage: Eukaryota; Viridiplantae; Streptophyta; Magnoliopsida; Malvales; Malvaceae. The record is from RNAcentral.